RNAcentral lists this ribosomal RNA (429 nucleotides) under Acidobacteriota bacterium. Its description in RNAcentral is "Acidobacteria bacterium partial 16S ribosomal RNA". It matches the Rfam family "Bacterial small subunit ribosomal RNA", at positions 355 to 776 of the family's 1533-position model. Lineage: Bacteria; Pseudomonadati; Acidobacteriota. The record is from RNAcentral.
UAGGGAAUCUUCCGCAAUGGGCGAAAGCCUGACGGAGCAACGCCGCGUGAGUGAUGAAGGUCUUCGGAUCGUAAAACUCUGUUAUUAGGGAAGAACAAAUGUGUAAGUAACUAUGCACGUCUUGACGGUACCUAAUCAGAAAGCCACGGCUAACUACGUGCCAGCAGCCGCGGUAAUACGUAGGUGGCAAGCGUUAUCCGGAAUUAUUGGGCGUAAAGCGCGCGUAGGCGGUUUUUUAAGUCUGAUGUGAAAGCCCACGGCUCAACCGUGGAGGGUCAUUGGAAACUGGAAAACUUGAGUGCAGAAGAGGAAAGUGGAAUUCCAUGUGUAGCGGUGAAAUGCGCAGAAAUAUGGAGGAACACCAGUGGCGAAGGCGACUUUCUGGUCUGUAACUGACGCUGAUGUGCGAAAGCGUGGUGAUCAAACAGG